RNAcentral lists this ribosomal RNA (461 nucleotides) under Streptococcus mitis. Its description in RNAcentral is "bacterial SSU rRNA". It matches the Rfam family "Bacterial small subunit ribosomal RNA", at positions 28 to 480 of the family's 1533-position model. The record is from RNAcentral. Lineage: Bacteria; Bacillati; Bacillota; Bacilli; Lactobacillales; Streptococcaceae.
GACGAACGCGGCGGCGUGCCUAAUACAUGCAAGUAGAACGCUGAAGGAGGAGCUUGCUUCUCUGGAUGAGUUGCGAACGGGCGAGUAACGCGUAGGUAACCUGCCUGGUAGCGGGGGAUAACUAUUGGAAACGAUAGCUAAUACCGCAUAAGAGUAGAUGUCGCAUGACAUUUGCUUAAAAGGUGCAAUUGCAUCACUACCAGAUGGACCUGCGUUGUAUUAGCUAGUUGGUGAGGUAACGGCUCACCAAGGCAACGAUACAUAGCCGACCUGAGAGGGUGAUCGGCCACACUGGGACUGAGACACGGCCCAGACUCCUACGGGAGGCAGCAGUAGGGAAUCUUCGGCAAUGGACGGAAGUCUGACCGAGCAACGCCGCGUGAGUGAAGAAGGUUUUCGGAUCGUAAAGCUCUGUUGUAAGAGAAGAAACGAGUGUGAGAAGUGGAAAAGUUUCAACAACU